CACUGGAAAAAAAACCUGGAGGUAAAAAUGGCAGCACUGUGAGGAUGAUCUGUGAAUUCUGGCUGUGAGAGUUCAACCUCAGCUACAUCAUCCAAGAGAUUUCAAGAAGGAGCUCCAUGGUGGUGGUCACAGGCAGGAAAAAUGCAACAAGACUAAUCUAUAAUCUGAACCAGAAGAACAGGCGAGAAUCAAAAAUCAAGAGACCAGAGCGUGGAAAUAAGGCUCCUGAAGAAGCCGGCCCCCCAGCCUCCACUUGAGAAGAUGAGACCACCCUCACUUGCCAACCCAAACAUGGUGCAGACACAAACUGCUUUCAACAUUCAACAAUUUUCUCCAACACAUUAGGCGGUUUUCAGAGUCAGUAACUUAAUUUAAAAAGCAACGUUAGUAUUUACUCUGGGAACGCUCUCUUCAUUCAGAUUUCACUUACACAGGUGCUUAGGGUUCAGACAUAAAU
Molecule: long non-coding RNA, 457 nt
Organism: Pangasianodon hypophthalmus (striped catfish)
Lineage: Eukaryota; Metazoa; Chordata; Actinopteri; Siluriformes; Pangasiidae
Exons: 3
Source: RefSeq, a predicted model, not a curated record